AUUGAACGCUGGCGGCAUGCUUUACACAUGCAAGUCGAACGGUAACAGGCCUUCGGGUGCUGACGAGUGGCGAACGGGUGAGUAAUGCAUCGGAACGUGCCCAGAGGUGGGGGAUAUCGCAGCGAAAGCUGUGCUAAUACCGCAUGUGAUCUGAGGAUGAAAGCGGGGGACCAGGCAGCAAUGUUUGGCCUCGCGCCUUUGGAGCGGCCGAUGUCAGAUUAGGUAGUUGGUGGGGUAAAGGCCUACCAAGCCGACGAUCUGUAGCUAGUCUGAGAGGACGACCAGCCACACUGGGACUGAGACACGGCCCAGACUCCUACGGGAGGCAGCAGUGGGGAAUUUUGGACAAUGGGCGCAAGCCUGAUCCAGCAAUGCCGCGUGCGGGAAGAAGGCCUUCGGGUUGUAAACCGCUUUUGUACGGAACGAAAAGGCUCUGGCUAAUACCUGGGGCUGAUGACGGUACCGUAAGAAUAAGCACCGGCUAACUACGUG
This 492-nucleotide ribosomal RNA is filed under the name uncultured bacterium. Its description in RNAcentral is "partial 16S ribosomal RNA". It matches the Rfam family "Bacterial small subunit ribosomal RNA", at positions 30 to 507 of the family's 1533-position model. The record is from RNAcentral.